AGGAGUCAGGGGUGGAGUUUUCUAAGGAAUCUGACCAUUCAGAGGGUUUAAAUUUUUUAAAUGACCAUUCCUUUACAAUUUUUCAUUUCUCUUUUAUAGAAGUACAACGUAUACAUAAAUUGUCACCUUGAUGAAUUAUCACAAAGUGAACAUACUUGUGUAACCACCACCCAAGUCAAGAAAGAGGACAUUUCCAGUCCCUAGAGUUGCCCUUGUGUCCCUUCCAGCCACACCUACUUCCUUCCUCUUGAAAAAUGACCCUUAUCUUUACUUGUAGACCAUGAGUUAUUUUUGUCUGUCCUUGAACAUUACAUUAAUAGAUGGUAUGAAAUAUGUACUCUGUGUUUUUAUUUUCUUGGAUUCUUUCAUUGGACCUGAAGUUUAUGAGAUUGAUCCAUGUUGUAUGUUGUGACUUUGUUCAUUUUCAUUGUCAUGUAUAUUCCACUGUGUGAAUGCACCACAACGCACUAAUUCAAACUCUUUGACCCAGCACUCCCACUCCUGGGAACCCCCCCUAUAGCAGUACCCUCUGGUGAGCACAGAGAUGGAUGUGCAAGGAUGUCCCCAGCGUGCAUUCCACCACUUCCCUUUUCUGCUCUCAUGACAGACUGGGCUUUCUCACAAAGCCCUGUGCAGCCUUCAAAUCUUUUUCAAUCAGGAUGGAACUGUUCUUGAAAUUCAUUUGCUAUCCCUGGAUUAAGCUGCACCUAGGAGUUAAUAAUUCUUUAAACAGUUUCUGAUUUUAGGGAGAUGUUAGCCAUUUGUUGAUAUCUGCACUUGCCCUUUUAUUAAAGAUCUAUGUUUCUGAGGAAAAUGAGGCUGGACUAUCUUUCUUUCCUCUCCCAAUGACAGAGGAAGGCCUGAUGACUGGGUUUCACUGUACAAAUAUCAGACAUCCCGUGUACCCAAGCCUGGAGGCCCAGUGCUGGAGCGAAAAGCAGGGCUCCUUUUGGCUGACAUCAAAACUGCACAGGGGCUCAGAUUCAAGAGCGGAUGAGCAGUGGAUAGAGGGCAUACAGGUCCCGGCAGAGCACAGAGAACUCAUCCCGCACCAGGAGCUCACCCUCCUCAGCUUCCGCCUUGGCCUCCAGGCGCAGCUGCUCUUCCUCAGCCACCACCUUUCCCGCCCGCUUGCGCAGUCGUGCAAUGGUCGGGAUGAAGUGGGAAUGCAGGAGCUCUGGCCUGGCCCGGCUCACGAU
Molecule: long non-coding RNA, 1199 nt
Organism: Phyllostomus discolor (pale spear-nosed bat)
Lineage: Eukaryota; Metazoa; Chordata; Mammalia; Chiroptera; Phyllostomidae
Exons: 2
Source: RefSeq, a predicted model, not a curated record